UACGAAGGAUCCAAGCGUUAUCCGGAUUUAUUGGGUUUAAAGGGUGCGUAGGCGGGCUAUUAAGUCAGUGGUGAAAGCCUGCAGCUUAACUGCAGAAUUGCCAUUGAUACUGAUGGUCUUGAGUACACUUGAGGUGGGCGGAAUGUGUCGUGUAGCGGUGAAAUGCGUUGAUAUCUAUCGGAACGCCGAAGGUGAAAGCAGGCCGCUGGGCCGAUUCUGACGCUGAGGUACGAAAGCGUGGGGAGCGAACGGG
This 253-nucleotide ribosomal RNA is filed under the name uncultured bacterium. RNAcentral's name for it is "partial 16S ribosomal RNA". It matches the Rfam family "Bacterial small subunit ribosomal RNA", at positions 524 to 776 of the family's 1533-position model. The record is from RNAcentral.